UAAUACGGAGGGUGCAAGCGUUACCCGGAAUCACUGGGCGUAAAGGGCGUGUAGGCGGAUCAGUCAGUCUGGCUUUAAAGACCGGGGCUCAACCCCGGAAGUGGGCUGGAUACUGCUGGUCUAGACCUCUGGAGAGAGAACCGGAAUUCCUGGUGUAGCGGUGGAAUGCGUAGAUACCAGGAGGAACACCGAUGGCGAAGGCAGGUUCUUGGACAGAAGGUGACGCUGAGGCGCGAAAGUGUGGGGAGCGAACCGG
RNAcentral lists this ribosomal RNA (256 nucleotides) under uncultured bacterium. RNAcentral's name for it is "partial 16S ribosomal RNA". It matches the Rfam family "Bacterial small subunit ribosomal RNA", at positions 521 to 776 of the family's 1533-position model. The record is from RNAcentral.